AGUUUGAUAAACCAAUCAAAUGUACUCCAAUUUUUGAAAUUUUCAUUCAAAUUUGAGAGAUGCUUUUACCCGGUUAACAAAACCAUAUAUUUACGUUAUCUUCUCUCUUCUGUUUUUUUCUUCCUCCCUCUCAUUUCCAUUCAAACCCUAGCGCCGCAUCCCUCUCUGGCUUCGACCACUCAAAUGAAAAAACAAAAUCUCUAUAUGUUUGCUUCAUCUCACAACCUUUCAAAAGAACCAGUUGAAAUUUUGUUUCGAUAGAUCUCGCCGUCGACCACCGUUUCUUCUUCUCCGAUAGUCACUAUUUGAAAUAGUGAAAGAUUGAAACUAGGUUCAUUGUUCUGGUGUUUUCGUAACGAUUGAAAAUCUCUUUAGAUUUUCUCAAAUUUUUUGGUUUUAGGGUGAAACCGAUGAAGAUUUUGGGCAAAUUGUCAAUUUUAUAAAAAGAAUACAACUAUACAAUUGCAGGCAUUAUUCUAAUAAAUUAUGGAAAAGCUCAAUAUCCAGCGACAAAACCUUUUUUCUAUCUCUUCUUGAAGCAGAUGUUGAGCCUGAGUCUGCAAUAGGAGCAUCAUGGAGGAGAGAAGUUGACGAAACCUAUGUUAGUAACAAAUUGCAGAACCUGAUGAUUUAGGACAUUUUAGGAUCACUUCCAUUUGAAGACUUGGAACAAAUACCGAUUUUUGCACUUGUAAAUAUAAAGGGACUAAUUUGAAAAGAUUAGUGUACUCUGUUUCAGGGAAGCUAUGGAUCAUUUCUAGCAACACCAAUUAGCAUUCCUAUACAGAGUAAUGCUUUGAAAGUGAGAUACGUAGCACUGACUGGAAGAAAACUACUCUCCCAAGAACAUGUAACACAUCACAGUGCAUUAGGUCAAUAGUUGGGAUCGCUCAUGGCAUCUAUCUAUACCGGAAGCCGAAUACCUCAAAUAUGGUUAAAUGGGUUAAAUCCUUUCAUGUUCCUCUUUGCACUGAUUGCCAAUGCUGCUUAUGUGGGAAGUAUUCUUGUAAGAACUACAGAAUGGGAAAGCAUCAAAGCAAAUAUGCCAUGAUUAUUGGACGCAAUUGUUUGCGUCGCAUUAGACCUAUUUGUAUUCUUUAUACAUGCAGAUUUUGAAGAAUCUCAUAGAAGAAUUUCUGGAGGUCUCAAUUUAUUAAGAACCUUGAAUCUACAGACAACUGUAUCGUUUUUUAGAGCAAUACAUAUUUUUUCUUGGAAGUAGAAGUCUGAAUUUCUUGAUAUUUUUUCUC
Vicia villosa (hairy vetch) is the source of this 1250-nucleotide long non-coding RNA. RefSeq lists it as uncharacterized. The transcript is spliced from 7 exons. NCBI's taxonomy places the organism in Eukaryota, Viridiplantae, Streptophyta, Magnoliopsida, Fabales, Fabaceae. The record is from RefSeq and is a predicted model, not a curated record.